This 507-nucleotide ribosomal RNA is filed under the name uncultured Gram-positive bacterium. Its description in RNAcentral is "bacterial SSU rRNA". It matches the Rfam family "Bacterial small subunit ribosomal RNA", at positions 900 to 1406 of the family's 1533-position model. The record is from RNAcentral.
CUCAAAGGAAUUGACGGGGGCCCGCACAAGCGGCGGAGCAUGUGGAUUAAUUCGAUGCAACGCGAAGAACCUUACCUGGGUUUGACAUGCACAGGACGCCGGCAGAGAUGUCGGUUCCCUUGUGGCCUGUGUGCAGGUGGUGCAUGGCUGUCGUCAGCUCGUGUCGUGAGAUGUUGGGUUAAGUCCCGCAACGAGCGCAACCCUUGUCUCAUGUUGCCAGCGGGUAAUGCCGGGGACUCGUGAGAGACUGCCGGGGUCAACUCGGAGGAAGGUGGGGAUGACGUCAAGUCAUCAUGCCCCUUAUGUCCAGGGCUUCACACAUGCUACAAUGGCCGGUACAAAGGGCUGCGAUGCCGUGAGGUGGAGCGAAUCCUUUCAAAGCCGGUCUCAGUUCGGAUCGGGGUCUGCAACUCGACCCCGUGAAGUCGGAGUCGCUAGUAAUCGCAGAUCAGCAACGCUGCGGUGAAUACGUUCCCGGGCCUUGUACACACCGCCCGUCACGUCAUG